Molecule: ribosomal RNA, 161 nt
Filed under: Harperella nodosa
Lineage: Eukaryota; Viridiplantae; Streptophyta; Magnoliopsida; Apiales; Apiaceae
Description: 5.8S ribosomal RNA
Rfam family: 5.8S ribosomal RNA
About the family: 5.8S ribosomal RNA (5.8S rRNA) is a component of the large subunit of the eukaryotic ribosome.
Source: RNAcentral
AAACGACUCUCGGCAACGGAUAUCCCGGCUCUCGCAUCGAUGAAGAACGUAGCGAAAUGCGAUACUUGGUGUGAAUUGCAGAAUCCCGUGAAUCAUCGAGUCUUUGAACGCAAGUGGCGCCCGAAGCCUCGGCUAAGGGCACGUCUGCCUGGGUGUCACGU